GCUACGCACAGGCCGGGUAGCGCAGGUCAACCCGCAGGUCUCUCAGCGCCACCCGAUCGGCGCAGCCCGGGGCGCCUACAGCCGCGCGCCACUCGGGCUGCCCUUCGUUCACCCCGUAUGAGCCACAGGCCUGAGCCGUUCCCGGGGCCCCGGUUCUCCCGCCCAGCAGCUCCCUUCCCGGCCCCCGCUCUCCCCGCUGGGCCAUGCCUUCCGAAGCGGCAGCCGGCCUGGGACAGGCUUCUGAGGCACCGAGCGCCUGUAGCUACGGCUGAAGCCCGCGCGGAGGGACCAGGCGGGAAUAGGAAAAAGCCCAUGGUUGCAUAGCAUUGUAGGAUAAGAAUGGCUGCCCUGUUCCACUGCACGGGAGAGUGCAUUCCAGUGGCAGGAGGGUAGAGAGUCGCCCAUAAGGAGGGGUCCUCCAUUGCCAGAUGAACGAAACCAUCUAGCCCUGGUUGAAAUUAGUAUACUCCAAACAAUUUCAAGAAGUGGCUAAAGUACGCAAUUGGACUAGAAGAGAUUUAUAGCAAUGCAGGAAAAAGUGCCUCAUCCUUGUGUUUGAAAGGAGAUGUAUUAAUUUGAGACUAGCAAUAAGACAGAUAUGUUCUGACACAUGCUAUUACAUCAGCUAAUAGCCAAUUAGUCUGCUUGCUUUUUCCAGUACAUUUGUGAAGGAAAAAUAAAAUUUUUCAAGAUGUGACUUCAGGUUCUCAUUUGUUAUCAUGCUACAGAAGUACUGCAAUAAGACUCAACAGUGGCCCCUCACCCACACUACAGAGUGAAAAUUCAUUAAAUAAAAACAUUGGGUCUCUAGAUGAGGUCCAAAUCCAAAUCUUUAAGGGGGUCUUAAUUAUUAUUACACUGUUAAAGCUCCAAAUGUAGUUGUAACCACAUCCUAUCCACUGAUUAACAACCGUGGCUGUUUUUGUUCAUAGCAAUUUUUUAAUAUUUGUAAAAAUGUGCUACAUUUACAGUUCUGCAAACUGGUGUAUUGUACAUCCACAAAACAGAUGCUAGGAGCAUAGACAGAGGCCACACUACCCCAACGAUACGCUUUCCGUACUCCCAUGGAAGAACGAUGGCAAAGACUGAAUUUAUUGGCUCGCCCAUUGACUUAAUUACUCCAGUCUCCACGAACGGCGGUAGCUAUGGCAGCGGGAGAAGCUAUCCUACCGACAUAGCACUGUCAACCCUGGCACUUAGGUCGGUGUAACUUUUGUUGUUCACGGGAGUGGCUCAUCACACCCCUGAGAGACAUAACUUAUAUGGAUGUAAGCUGUAGUGUGUACAUAGUCUAAAAUAGGUACAGCACUUCACAGAUGUAACUCUCAAUGACUAGAGUUUGCCAAAUAACUAUUGAUAUUGUAGGCUGUUGCACAUUAGUUUGUAUUGCUUUCUCUAUAAUCCAAUGGCAUUGGCUAGGAAAUGGUCUUUAGCUAACUUAAUCAAGGAUGUUUUGUUCAAAGAUUUCACUCAACUGAAUUCCGCUGCUACUUUCUCUCUUGGAUCAUUAGCUAAAUUUUCUCAAAACUCAAUAGGGUAGGUCACCUUCAACAAAGGAGGGAUUUCAAAUUAAAUGGUGGACUGAGACCAAAUGACUUUCAGGCAAAAUGCAUCAAAACAAAGAUCCCUAAUAUAAGACGGUCUGAGAAUCUGAAUAUUCAAGAAAAGCAAAUAAGAUGCAUCGGACUGGACACUGAAUACAGCACCAUUUAUAGCAUACAUUGCUAUUUGGUAUGGCAAAUCUCUCUGGGAAGUUUCCAUGUAAAUACAGCUGCAAAAUACAAUCAACCAUUUUUAAACCCAUACCUGUGCCUUUUCAAAUUUCUAUUUAUACAUUUUUGUCUACCAUGUCUUAUUCUGGCUGUUAAAUACAGGCUGGGCUUCCUUGCCAUCUCUGGACACAAGACUAAAAACAAGAACAGAGUAAUAUGGUUCAAAAUAGCUUACCAAAACUACUACUUCCAAAGAGGAAACACAAUACAUCUAUAUGCGCAGGUGAUGCAAUACAACAUACAAUUUGAUUCCAGCUCCAUCAGCACUGCUGACCUUUUAAUUUGUUUUCCCAAAUCUUUUUAAACCUUUCCUUUAUAAUAGUUCUGCUGGAGAACUAAGUGGAUGGAAUGUUUGCUAUUCUAUCUAUCUUAGGGUUUCAUACGGCUGCCCACCACCAUAAUAACUGGGCACGUUCCAUGUAAGAUCAGAAAUAAGAAGUCCCUAGUGAACUUCAUGGAGCAUCUGGCACUUCUCCCUUUUCAAAGUUCUUGCUUGGUAAGGCUUUUGUUUUGUUAGAUUUUAUUAAUUCUCAUCCUCUCUUUUGAGGGGGAUGUUAGGGAUUUACUGUGUAAAGAGGGUUUUGGUGGCGUGAGUAUCGUUUUGAUGGUUUAAAGGCUUUGUUGAAGAGAAAGGUUAGAGUUUCUUAAAGAUGGUCAGACUGAAUUUGCCUAAUCUCUGGAAAUUAGUUACAUAGCUCGAGCCCCUGGAAAUGCUUUGCCCUAUACUCUGAAACCCUUCAUCCUGAGCUUUACCAUCUGCAUUGUCCCGGAGAACAGCAGUUGCAAUGGUUGAUAGAUCAAAAUUCUGUCUCUGAUGUAAUUGCUUUGAAAGUGAGGAUCAAGGCUUUAAACAUGCCCAGGAAGCUGACUGGGAGAAAGUACACGGAUCUGAACAUAGGCCUGAGGUGCUCAUAGAUACCUAAGUCGUGGAGAAAGCAGGCAGUCACAUUCUGUACCAGAUGGACUCUGUUUGCACCAUCUUCACAUUCAGCUUCGGAUACAGUGAAUUACAGAAAUCCAGCCUGGAAGUAACAAAUACAUAUAGCCAGGUCCUCAUCUGGGAAGAAGGGGCUAAAUUUUCUAGCAAGCUGGAGGUGACAAAAGGCAUUUUUAGAAACUGAUACUACCUGGUCAUCCAGGAUUAAUGCAUGAAGUGAAAAAGUUUCACACCACUUUGAUGAAUGGAGGCUGUGCGCCUUUAACGAAAGGUGGAGAUAACAUCUCCGCUAAUUCUCCGUAACAUUUCCCCUUUCCAACCAGCAUCACUUCUGUUGUGCCUGGGUUCAGUUUGAGCCAGCUGCUCUUCAUCCAAAAGCUGAUUUUCUUGCAGGCAUUCUGACAUCUUACAAGCACUGGCGGUUGUGUCAGGUAAAUAUGAAAUAUAUAGUUGAACAUCAUCAGCAUGCUGGUGGCAGCUGAGUCCAUGGCA
Chrysemys picta bellii (western painted turtle) is the source of this 3201-nucleotide long non-coding RNA. RefSeq lists it as uncharacterized. NCBI's taxonomy places the organism in Eukaryota, Metazoa, Chordata, Testudines, Emydidae. The record is from RefSeq and is a predicted model, not a curated record.